RNAcentral lists this ribosomal RNA (473 nucleotides) under uncultured Marinomonas sp. Its description in RNAcentral is "bacterial SSU rRNA". It matches the Rfam family "Bacterial small subunit ribosomal RNA", at positions 60 to 524 of the family's 1533-position model. The record is from RNAcentral. Lineage: Bacteria; Pseudomonadati; Pseudomonadota; Gammaproteobacteria; Oceanospirillales; Oceanospirillaceae.
AGUCGAGCGGUAACAUUUCUAGCUUGCUAGAAGAUGACGAGCGGCGGACGGGUGAGUAACGCGUAGGAAUCUGCCUAGUAGAGGGGGACAACAUGUGGAAACGCAUGCUAAUACCGCAUACGCCCUACGGGGGAAAGGAGGGGAUCUUCGGACCUUCCGCUAUUAGAUGAGCCUGCGUAAGAUUAGCUAGUUGGUGGGGUAAAGGCUCACCAAGGCGACGAUCUUUAACUGGUCUGAGAGGAUGACCAGUCACACUGGGACUGAGACACGGCCCAGACUCCUACGGGAGGCAGCAGUGGGGAAUAUUGGACAAUGGGCGAAAGCCUGAUCCAGCCAUGCCGCGUGUGUGAAGAAGGCCUUAGGGUUGUAAAGCACUUUCAGGAGUGAGGAAGGGUGCUUGGUUAAUACCCAAGUAUUUUGACGUUAGCUCCAGAAGAAGCACCGGCUAACUCUGUGCCAGCAGCCGCGGUAAU